GGAGAUCAAAGGUCAGAGACACUGACUGCUAAUGGAAGAACUGCUACUUGAAAAGCACUAUCCGUCCAUUUUCUCAUCAGAUCCUCAACAACUCUACAAGGUAAAGCUGUC
RNAcentral lists this long non-coding RNA (111 nucleotides) under Felis catus (domestic cat). RNAcentral's name for it is "lncRNA (ENSFCAG00000047619.1)". The record is from RNAcentral. Lineage: Eukaryota; Metazoa; Chordata; Mammalia; Carnivora; Felidae.